RNAcentral lists this ribosomal RNA (687 nucleotides) under uncultured bacterium. RNAcentral describes it as "bacterial SSU rRNA". It matches the Rfam family "Bacterial small subunit ribosomal RNA", at positions 104 to 810 of the family's 1533-position model. The record is from RNAcentral.
GGGUGAGUAACGCGUGGGUAACCUGCCCUGUACACACGGAUAACAUACCGAAAGGUAUGCUAAUACGAGAUAAAAUACUUUUAUCGCAUGGUAGAAGUAUCAAAGCUUUUGCGGUACAGGAUGGACCCGCGUCUGAUUAGCUAGUUGGUAAGGUAACGGCUUACCAAGGCGACGAUCAGUAGCCGACCUGAGAGGGUGAUCGGCCACAUUGGAACUGAGACACGGUCCAAACUCCUACGGGAGGCAGCAGUGGGGAAUAUUGCACAAUGGGCGAAAGCCUGAUGCAGCAACGCCGCGUGAGCGAUGAAGGCCUUCGGGUCGUAAAGCUCUGUCCUCAAGGAAGAUAAUGACGGUACUUGAGGAGGAAGCCCCGGCUAACUACGUGCCAGCAGCCGCGGUAAUACGUAGGGGGCUAGCGUUAUCCGGAAUUACUGGGCGUAAAGGGUGCGUAGGUGGUUUCUUAAGUCAGAGGUGAAAGGCUACGGCUCAACCGUAGUAAGCCUUUGAAACUGGGGAACUUGAGUGCAGGAGAGGAGAGUGGAAUUCCUAGUGUAGCGGUGAAAUGCGUAGAUAUUAGGAGGAACACCAGUUGCGAAGGCGGCUCUCUGGACUGUAACUGACGCUGAGGCUCGAAAGCGUGGGGAGCAAACAGGAUUAGAUACCCUGGUAGUCCACGCCGUAAACGAU